AGUGAACGCUGGCGGCAGGCCUAACACAUGCAAGUCGAGCGGCAGCGCGGGGCAACCUGGCGGCGAGCGGCGGACGGGUGAGGACAACGUCGGAAUCUGCCAAUUCGUGGGGGAUAACGUAGGGAAACUUACGCUAAUACCGCAUACGACCUACGGGUGAAAGUGGGGGAUCGCAAGACCUCACGCGAAUUGAUGAGCCGACGUCCGAUUAGCUAGUUGGUGAGGUAAAGGCUCACCAAGGCGACGAUCG
Molecule: ribosomal RNA, 250 nt
Filed under: uncultured bacterium
Lineage: Bacteria
Description: partial 16S ribosomal RNA
Rfam family: Bacterial small subunit ribosomal RNA
Source: RNAcentral